RNAcentral lists this ribosomal RNA (468 nucleotides) under uncultured bacterium. Its description in RNAcentral is "partial 16S ribosomal RNA". It matches the Rfam family "Bacterial small subunit ribosomal RNA", at positions 28 to 507 of the family's 1533-position model. The record is from RNAcentral.
GACGAACGCUGGCGGCGUGCUUAACACAUGCAAGUCGAGCGGAAAGACGCGGCGUUUGUUGGGUGCUCGAGUGGCGAGCGGGUGUGUAACACGUGAGUAACCUGCACUUGUCUUUGGGAUAACUUCAGGAAACUGGGGCUAAUACCGGGUAGAAGCUCCUGCUGCAUGGUGGGGGAUGGUAAGUUUCGGCGGUUGGGGAUGGUCUCGCGGCUUAUCCGCUUGGUGGUGUGGUUGUGGCUUACCCAGGCUUUGACGGGUAGCCGGCCUGAGAGGGUGACAGGCGACACUGGGACUGAGGGAAGGCACCGACAGCGAAGGGACGGAGAAGGGGGGAAUACUGCAGAAGGGGCGGCAGCCUGAUGAAGCAACGCCGCGGGCCGGAAAACGGCCUUCGGGUUGUAGACCGAAUGCGCAUGUGACGAUGCGUGAGUGACGGUAAUGGGUAAAGAAGCCCAGGCUAAAUAAGUG